CCUACGGGGGGCAGCAGUGGGGGAUAUUGGACAAUGGGGGGAACCCUGAUCCAGCGACGCCGCGUGAGUGAAGAAGUAUUUCGGUAUGUAACGCUCUGUCAGCAGUGAAGAAAGAAAUGACGGUACCUGACCAAGAAGCCCCGGCUAACUACGUGCCAGCAGCCGCGGUAAUACGUAGGGGGCAAGCGUUAUCCGGAAUUACUGGGUGUAAAGGGAGCGUAGACGGUUAAGUAAGUCUGGAGUGAAAGGCCGGGGCACAACCCCGGGACUGCUCUGGAAACUAUUGAACUUGAGUGCAGGAGAGGUAAGCGGAAUUCCUAGUGUAGCGGUGAAAUGCGUAGAUAUUAGGAGGAACACCAGUGGCGAAGGCGGCUUACUGGACUGUAACUGACGUUGAGGCUCGAAAGCGUGGGGAGCAAACAGGAUUAGAUACCCUUGUAGUC
Molecule: ribosomal RNA, 443 nt
Filed under: uncultured bacterium
Lineage: Bacteria
Description: partial 16S ribosomal RNA
Rfam family: Bacterial small subunit ribosomal RNA
Source: RNAcentral